Molecule: ribosomal RNA, 279 nt
Filed under: uncultured bacterium
Lineage: Bacteria
Description: partial 16S ribosomal RNA
Rfam family: Bacterial small subunit ribosomal RNA
Source: RNAcentral
AAGCGGAAAAGGGAAAGGCUUAGUGGCGGACGGGUGAGUAACGCGUGGGUAACCUGGCCCAUACAGGGGGAUAACACUUAGAAAUAGGUGCUAAUACCGCAUAACAACAGAAAGCGCAUGCUUUUGUUUGAAAACCAAGGUGGUAUGGGAUGGACCCGCGUCUGAUUAGCUGGUUGGCGGGGUAAAGGCCCACCAAGGCGACGAUCAGUAGCCGGCCUGAGAGGGUGGACGGCCACAUUGGGACUGAGACACGGCCCAAACUCCUACGGGAGGCAGCAG